RNAcentral lists this ribosomal RNA (338 nucleotides) under uncultured bacterium. RNAcentral's name for it is "bacterial SSU rRNA". It matches the Rfam family "Bacterial small subunit ribosomal RNA", at positions 32 to 361 of the family's 1533-position model. The record is from RNAcentral.
AAUCAACGCUGGCGGCGUGCCUCAGACAUGCAAGUCGAACGAUUAAACUUGCCUUCGGGCAAGAUAUAAAGUGGCGCACGGGUGAGUAACACGUAAGUAAUCUACCUUCGAGUGGGGAAUAACGUCGGGAAACCGACGCUAAUACCGCAUAAUGCAGCGGCACCUAAUGGUGACAGUUGUUAAAGGAGCAAUUCGCUUGAAGAGGAGCUUGCGGCAGAUUAGCUAGNGGUAAGGUAAUGGCUUACCAAGGCUACGAUCUGUAACCGGUCUAAGAGGACGGUCGGUCACACUGACACUGAAUAACGGGUCAGACUCCUACGGGAGGCAGCAGUCGGGAA